Non-coding RNA from Potamilus streckersoni, 74 nucleotides. The record is from the annotation of a GenBank genome assembly. Lineage: Eukaryota; Metazoa; Mollusca; Bivalvia; Unionida; Unionidae.
GCUUCGGUGGCCUGGUGGUUAGGGCGUUCGCCCCAAAUGCAGGAGGUCGUGGAUUUGAUUUACCAUCCGAGUCA